CCUACGGGUGGCAGCAGUGAGGAAUAUUGGUCAAUGGACGAGAGUCUUAACCAGCCAAGUAGCGUGAAGGAUGACUGCCCUCUGGGUUGUAAACUUCUUUUAUAUGGAAAUAAAAUGUUCCACUUGUAGGAUUUUGUAUGUACCAUAUUAAUAAGGAUCGGCUAACUCCGUGCCAGCAGCCGCGGUAAUACGGAGGAUCCGAGCGUUAUCCGUAUGUAUUGGGUUUAAAGGGAGCGUAGGUGGAUUGUUAAGUCAGUUGUGAAAGUUUGCGGCUCAACCGUAAAAUUGCAGUUGAAACUGGCAGUCGUGAGUACAGUAGAGGUGGGCGGAAUUCGUGGUGUAGCGGUGAAAUGCUUAGAUAUCACGAAGAACUCCGAUUGCGAAGGCAGCUCACUGGACUGCAACUGACACUGAGGCUCGAAAGUGUGGGUAUCAAACAGGAUUAGAUACCCUUGUAGUC
RNAcentral lists this ribosomal RNA (460 nucleotides) under uncultured bacterium. RNAcentral describes it as "partial 16S ribosomal RNA". It matches the Rfam family "Bacterial small subunit ribosomal RNA", at positions 338 to 795 of the family's 1533-position model. The record is from RNAcentral.